CUUCAGGAUUAAUAAUAUUAUUAUAAUACUGAAAUUCGUGUCUUGCCAUUCUUCAGUUUGAAUUGACGCCAUGAUUUUGAAUUGC
Molecule: small RNA, 85 nt
Filed under: Arabidopsis thaliana (thale cress)
Lineage: Eukaryota; Viridiplantae; Streptophyta; Magnoliopsida; Brassicales; Brassicaceae
Description: ATSL051240
Source: RNAcentral